AUUGAACGCUGGCGGCAGGCCUAACACAUGCAAGUCGAGCGGCAGCGGAAAGUAGCUUGCUACUUUGCCGGCGAGCGGCGGACGGGUGAGUAAUGUCUGGGAAACUGCCUGAUGGAGGGGGAUAACUACUGGAAACGGUGGCUAAUACCGCAUAACGUCGCAAGACCAAAGUGGGGGACCUUCGGGCCUCACGCCAUCGGAUGUGCCCAGAUGGGAUUAGCUAGUAGGUGGGGUAAUGGCUCACCUAGGCGACGAUCCCUAGCUGGUCUGAGAGGAUGACCAGCCACACUGGAACUGAGACACGGUCCAGACUCCUACGGGAGGCAGCAGUGGGGAAUAUUGCACAAUGGGCGCAAGCCUGAUGCAGCCAUGCCGCGUGUGUGAAGAAGGCCUUCGGGUUGUAAAGCACUUUCAGCGAGGAGGAAGGCAUCACACUUAAUACGUGUGGUGAUUGACGUUACUCGCAGAAGAAGCACCGGCUAACUCCGUGCCAGCAGCCGCGGUAAUACGGAGGGUGCAAGCGUUAAUCGGAAUUACUGGGCGUAAAGCGCACGCAGGCGGUUUGUUAAGUCAGAUGUGAAAUCCCCGCGCUUAACGUGGGAACUGCAUUUGAAACUGGCAAGCUAGANUCUUGUAGAGGGGGGUAGAAUUCC
RNAcentral lists this ribosomal RNA (653 nucleotides) under uncultured prokaryote. RNAcentral describes it as "bacterial SSU rRNA". It matches the Rfam family "Bacterial small subunit ribosomal RNA", at positions 28 to 670 of the family's 1533-position model. The record is from RNAcentral.